GGGGUAUAGUUCUUCGGAACUAGAGACCGGCGCACGGGUGCGUAACGCGUAUGCAAUCUACCUUUUACAGAGGGAUAGCCCAGAGAAAUUUGGAUUAAUACCUCAUAGCAUAGCAAUCUCGCAUGAGAUCACUAUUAAAGUCACAACGGUAAAAGAUGAGCAUGCGUCCCAUUAGCUAGUUGGUAAGGUAACGGCUUACCAAGGCUACGAUGGGUAGGGGUCCUGAGAGGGAGAUCCCCCACACUGGUACUGAGACACGGACCAGACUCCUACGGGAGGCAGCAGUGAGGAAUAUUGGACAAUGGGCGCAAGCCUGAUCCAGCCAUGCCGCGUGCAGGAUGACGGUCCUAUGGAUUGUAAACUGCUUUUAUACGAGAAGAAACACUCCAACGUGUUGGAGCUUGACGGUAUCGUAAGAAUAAGGAUCGGCUAACUCCGUGCCAGCAGCCGCGGUAAUACGGAGGAUCCAAGCGUUAUCCGGAAUCAUUGGGUUUAAAGGGUCCGUAGGCGGUUUAGUAAGUCAGUGGUGAAAGCCCAUCGCUCAACGGUGGAACGGCCAUUGAUACU
This 567-nucleotide ribosomal RNA is filed under the name Flavobacterium sp. S173.08.BKT.W.Gill.N. RNAcentral describes it as "bacterial SSU rRNA". It matches the Rfam family "Bacterial small subunit ribosomal RNA", at positions 66 to 634 of the family's 1533-position model. Lineage: Bacteria; Pseudomonadati; Bacteroidota; Flavobacteriia; Flavobacteriales; Flavobacteriaceae. The record is from RNAcentral.